RNAcentral lists this ribosomal RNA (253 nucleotides) under uncultured bacterium. RNAcentral describes it as "partial 16S ribosomal RNA". It matches the Rfam family "Bacterial small subunit ribosomal RNA", at positions 524 to 776 of the family's 1533-position model. The record is from RNAcentral.
UACGAAGGGGGCUAGCGUUGCUCGGAAUCACUGGGCGUAAAGGGUGUGUAGGCGGGUCUUUAAGUCAGGGGUGAAAUCCUGGAGCUCAACUCCAGAACUGCCUUUGAUACUGAGGAUCUUGAGUACGGGAGAGGUGAGUGGAACUGCGAGUGUAGAGGUGAAAUUCGUAGAUAUUCGCAAGAACACCAGUGGCGAAGGCGGCUCACUGGCCCGUAACUGACGCUGAGGCACGAAAGCGUGGGGAGCAAACAGG